Molecule: long non-coding RNA, 1155 nt
Filed under: Sus scrofa (pig)
Lineage: Eukaryota; Metazoa; Chordata; Mammalia; Artiodactyla; Suidae
Description: lncRNA (ENSSSCG00060033365.1)
Source: RNAcentral
AUGGAUGUGAAUAUUGUCACUCCGUUUCUCUCCAGAGCCAUACUGAAGAAGUUUUAUUCAGGAGACAGACUGAGAAGAGAGCCAGAUUACCUCCUGGGACUUUUCAAAAAUGCCUCAUCCCAAGGAACGCCCCAAGGGUCUAGAACUGCCCAUCCCAGGUCAACUGGGAAGAAGGAAAGACAAGAAAAGAACGUACAACCUGCAAAUAAUAGAUAUGGGAAGACCUUUGAAGAAUGAAAAAUUGGAAUCAAUUGUGGAUAAACUCCCGGAGCGGCACCAGCAAACUUAAGCUUGGACAAUAUUGUCUUCGUUGUGGCAGAUUGUAAUGAUUCAUCACUUUCUCCUCCCAUUAUUGUUAGAAAUACUGCAGUCCCGAGUUUCUAAAUUAAUAAGAGCCCAUAUUGACAGCACAGUAUUCCUUUAAUAACGUAUUGCAGACAUAGUCUCACUUUAUGAACAUAUAUUGAUUACAUUCCUAAACGGAUGACAGUACUGCAUUUCUACCCAUAGAGUCAGAAUUAUCUAUGUCUCUGUAAAUCGGGAGUAUCACAAGGAUUUCUUUGGUUAAUUCAGAGGGAGAAAGUAAAAAGGGCCAGGGGACAGGAGAUAAGAGGUAUGAUAGGCAAAAGAAAGACACCCUUACACUUGGAGAAAAGAAGUCUGUUGUUUAGCUCUGUCUCCUUAAAGUCAUAACACCGUCAAAACUCUGAAAAUCGUAGUCUGGAUUGCGUUGGGCAUCACAUGGACAAACCAAUUAGACGUUCAUUAAAAUCUUCCUUUUCUGGGCAUUCCCAUCAUGGCUCAGCAGUUAACAAACUUGACUAGUAUUCAUAAGGACAUGGGUUUGAUCCCUGGCCUCACUCAGUGGGUUAAGGAUCUAGCGUUGCUGUGGCUGUGGUGUAGCCAAAAGCUACCUCUCCAAUUCGAGCCCUAGCCUGGGAACCUCUAUGUGCCAUGGCGCAGCCCUAAAAAGGCAAAAUCAAAUCAAAUCAAAUCUUCGUUUUCACCUAGAUGUUAUAGCGAUAAGCAGCUAGGCUUAGCAGUCCUGCCGCCAAGCAUUCGGAGCCUUUUCCGGAGGGAGACGGUCAAAAAGACUUUUGAAAUUCUGAUAAAGCUUCCUCUUCUGGGAUAAAAAUAAAUACCAGAUUUUGUCCA